RNA transcript from Corythoichthys intestinalis (scribbled pipefish), 1677 nucleotides. It is a transcript of the gene named F-box and WD repeat domain containing 4, with no coding region annotated. The transcript has 11 exons. The record is from RefSeq and is a predicted model, not a curated record. Lineage: Eukaryota; Metazoa; Chordata; Actinopteri; Syngnathiformes; Syngnathidae.
CGUCAUCACAACACUGUGGGAAUUUCCUGGAACCACAUGAGCUGCUCCCGUCCUGUGCUUCGUUCAUCUACAGCUGGUCGUAGUGUUAUUUUCACCUGCUUUUUCUUUUUUUCCCCAACUCAACAACCACUUCCGUUGUUCCGCCGCAGUUCCAGGCGGAAUACAGCAGUGCUUUUAAAGCACGUAGCAUGCUACUGUUUCAGCUACCAGAUGAUGUUUUGUAUCACAUAUUGUCUUAUUUGGACAGUAAAACACUGAGUCGUCUCUCCCAGGUUUCUAAAGCAAUUCGGCACAUUGUAAGCCGCGAUGUGGUGUGGAAGAAGAUUGCCAAAGAGUUGUUAAACACUGGAAUUACUCGAUAUUGGACAGACAUAUAUCCUCACAUCUUGCUUAAGGACAGAGUGAAGAUUUCUCAAAACUGGUGCAAUGGUGUCUGCAAAAGGGAUACUCUUUUAAAGUGGAAAACAAAAUUGUUGCCAUGGUUACAGCUGGAUGGGGACACACUAUUUUUGUCUCAGGCUGGAGAAAUAAGAGCCUACUCUCUACAGCAAGAUCGCAGGAGGGCACGGCAUAACCCUAUAAAAAUCUACUCUGGCCACCAGGCAGAUGUCUGCAGAUUUGUUCUUAAUGACUCACACCUAAUCAGUGGUGGCAGUGAUGGCAAUAUACUGGUCCACGGUAGAAGAAAUGACAGCCCAAUCAAGUUAUUAGGUCAUAAUCAGGAAGUAAACUGCAUUGACUCAAAAAAUGAACUAAUCGUCAGUGGCUCUAGGGACCAAACAACCCAGAUCUGGACAUUGACCUCUAGUAGCCGCAGAGAGAUAAUUUCAUUGCAUGACAGAGUAUGGUCUGUGGCAAUUAAUCCCGCACUGAGUUCCUUUGUAACUGGUACUGCUUGUUGUAAGAACCUCUCCCCGCUUCGCAUCUGGGAUGUUGAACGGUUGGUGUGUUUAUGCAGUCUAGGUUCAGCUUUCCGUCGCGGGGCUGGUGUUUUGGAUAUGGUGUUUGAGACACCGUUUCACCUCUUCACCUGUGGCUAUGACACAUUUAUCCGACUCUGGGACCUUCGCCAAAGUCCACAUAAGAAUGUAAUGGAGUGGGAGGAGCCUCAUGACUGUGCCUUAUACUGCAUGCAAACAGAUGGAAAUCACAUGAUAGCCAGUGGCUCCUCCUACUAUGGCGUCGUUCGACUUUGGGACAAAAGACGGACUGAAUGCUUACAGUUUUUCCAGUUGAGCUCUGACCCAGUGAGUAGCCCAGUGUACUGUCUGCGUUUCAGCAGCACUCACCUGUAUGCAGCCCUUUCUACUGCACUCCACUCAUUAGACUUCAGACACAACCUCAACAUCAAUGUCAGAGCUUUGCGGCACUGGCUUGGUUCCACAUCCCCACCUUCAUGAUGCCAAAAUUCCUGCGUUCGUGUAUGAGGACACAUCCAACUUUGUGGCUGUGAAGUGCCCGAUGACGUAAGCAUAUCUGUGACGGCCAAUGACUGCAGAGGAGACGACACUGUUCCUGAUACAACCAAUCGUGGGAAGGAAGAGACAACUUAUUAACUCUUGAAGUUUAGCACAAGUUGUUUUGGUUUGGGUGUUAGCCACCCUAGCAGAUGUUCUUGGUAUUGAACAAUGUGACGCGUUGGCAGCGUUUUGGCUCUUAAGAGAUUUCGCAUUAUUG